This 478-nucleotide long non-coding RNA is filed under the name Anser cygnoides (Swan goose). RNAcentral describes it as "lncRNA (ENSACDG00005012059.1)". Lineage: Eukaryota; Metazoa; Chordata; Aves; Anseriformes; Anatidae. The record is from RNAcentral.
AUGUUUACUGUCAUGGAUAUUCACAGAAAGAAAAAGUGGGCCAAAUCCAGACUUUCCUGGCCAUUUGCUUGGACACUACCACAUCCUUUGCUUGGUGGCUUCUGUUGUCGUAGCUGUGCUGUUUCAUCCUCACUUAACUGCUAUCAGGAAAUAAAAUUGUCAGGUCCCUCUUCUCUCUUUGUCUGUUGUCUGCUUGAAAAGGUAGAGUCACAAGUUUGUAAGUACAAAGGAAAAAAUAAAAUGUUGCCUCUAGAGCUCUCAUCAAAGACUUGCUCACACCAAAUAUUCUAAUGAGAGGUAAGUGAACAAUGAUUUAAAACAUGAUAACAAAUAUGUGAUGAACUAAGGACAGCAUAAAUCAAUAAUUGCACUCAAGCUUUGUAGAAAUUAUACCAUCCUAGAUUCUAGCAGGAGACAAUUUGCUGCAGUAUUUUGUGAACAGAGCUAUCCUGUGGGAUCAGGCUGCAGAGGACAUUUC